AACGCGAAGAACCUUACCAAGGUUUGACAUGCAGGGAAAAGCCGUAGAGAUACGGUGUCCGUAAGGGCCCUGCACAGGUGGUGCAUGGCUGUCGUCAGCUCGUGUCGUGAGAUGUUGGGUUAAGUCCCGCAACGAGCGCAACCCUUGUCCUUAGUUGCCAACAGGUAAAGCUGGGAACUCUAGGGAGACUGCCGGUGAUAAGCCGGAGGAAGGUGGGGAUGACGUCAAGUCCUCAUGGCCCUUACGGGUAGGGCUACACACGUGUUACAAUGGGCAGUACAGAGGGAAGCGAAGCCGCGAGGUGUAGCAAAUCUUUUAAAAGCUGUUCGUAGUCCGGAUUGGAGUCUGCAACUCGACUCCAUGAAGUUGGAAUCGCUAGUAAUCGCGGAUCAGAACGCCGCGGUGAAUACGUUCCCGGGCCUUGUACACACCGCAUAC
This 438-nucleotide ribosomal RNA is filed under the name uncultured bacterium. RNAcentral's name for it is "bacterial SSU rRNA". It matches the Rfam family "Bacterial small subunit ribosomal RNA", at positions 958 to 1397 of the family's 1533-position model. The record is from RNAcentral.